Molecule: long non-coding RNA, 2500 nt
Filed under: Nicotiana tabacum (common tobacco)
Lineage: Eukaryota; Viridiplantae; Streptophyta; Magnoliopsida; Solanales; Solanaceae
Description: long non-coding RNA (NTAB_LNC005332)
Source: RNAcentral
UCUCACUUCAACAAUCUCCCUCUCAUCUCUCUCAAGCCCCAAACCCCAGCCGCCCACAUACCCUAAACCACCUCCACCACCCUAAACCACCCCAAACCUUUACCCCACAAUCCCCACCUCCUCCUCAUCCCAUAUCCUCUCUUAAUUUCCUCCAAAACACCCUAGAAUUGCCCGAUUUUCAAAUCUAAAAAUGGUCAUUAACUAGCCAAAGUCCCCAAACCGGUCUUCUAGCUUUUCUUUAAAUCAAACCUUUAAUUCCUCAUGGAUUUCUGACUUGCGAGGUAUUUGCCGGACUAAGCAUCUGAAAAAUACUUGUUGGCCAGAAAUGCUUGGCGAUUUGAAGAAGCAGAUUCGAGCACCUUCUUAUCUCCAUUUCUUGUUUGUUGUUGACCGUCCUCUCCUCUUUUGGCAUGACUGGUUCCAGUAGGUAAUUUUUCUUCUUUUCUUUUCAUCUUCUUUUUUUUUCUCCGUGUUUUUUUCUUUCAACCAAACAACCUUUCUGUUCUUUCUUGAAUUCCUCUUCAGUUUGUUUGCCCUAAUGAUUAAGAGGCUUAAUUAUUCAUUAGUUUAAAACAUAUAACAAUUAGUUUAUCGAUUUUAGUUUACUUGCUAAAUUAGGCAUUCGUCUUGAUUUGUUUUUAGUUUUGCAUGAUUUACUUGCCAUUUAAUUGCAUGAUUGAUUUUUUAGUUUAAUUGCAUGUUCAGUUUAAUUGAUUCAACCUUAAUUAGUUCAGUAAUCUAGUUUGGGUGAAUUAGUCGAUUAUUUCUGUUUCAUUAUGAUCUGUGAUAGCUUGGUUGCCAAUUGGAAUUAAAGGGGUUGAAAGAGUAAUAUUGAAAACUUUAAAGGGUUAAUUGGAUGCCAAAUCAGAGAAACAAAGGCUAGAAUGGCCUAAAUGGUUCUAGGAAGUUCUAGAAGGGGUUAAUGGGUAAUCAAACAAUCAGAAUUUAGGUCAGAUUAGUUAAAAUUGUAAUAAGCAGAAUUUAAAAGGGGUAAAAUUGGGAGUUUAAAAUGAGAAAAUAUCAGAAUGUUCUAGUAUAGGACAACUGCCCCAUUCUUAGCAUGUAAAUACUGAAAUUGAGUGGGAAAAAGGACAUACAGCAGUCAAAAAAUACUGUACUAUGUGAUAUUUCAGAAAUUAGGGUAGAAUAUUUUAUUUUUUAUGCUAUCUUUGUGCAUUCUAUAUAAAGAAUAAGCAUUCACUCAUUCUAGGGGAGGGAUAAGAAUAUUCAUUCUAAGAGGCAGCCCUAAACCCUAGUUUUUAAUUCUCUCUUUAGUUCUUCCUUUAACCAUAUAUAGAAACAGAAAACAAAUAAAAAAGAGAAAAAGUUCUUAAGGCUGUUUGAUUUUCCUCCAUUUCUCUACUGUUUUACUUCGUCAUGUUGGGAUUUUGUGUCUAAUUCCGGAUUCUUGCUUCAUGCUGGUUGUUGUUGCUAUUUUUUCUGCUACUCAUUACUAGAGAUUUAUUUUCUUUUCUGGUCCAUUUUGCUGUAAUCAGGUAUUCACCUUAAAUCUAAGAUUCAGUUUUUGUAUGAAUAAGUUGAUUGCUUUAUUGGUUCUAUGAAGUCUUGAUCCUCCCUCAUCAUGUGUUGAUUUCCUUACAUUUAGCAUGUUAAUUAGUAAAUCUUGGCUCAUUUAAACUCAUGAGUGUUUCUUCUGUUAUUCGAUGUUUUGACAUGAAAAGAGCAAGAAUCCAUUACUCUACUAUGUGAUUAUUUGAAUUGGUGUGUUUAUUUUGCAACUAUUAGUCUAUUUCUGAGUUAAAAUGUCAUGUUGUGAACCAAUUGAUUAUAAGAUGGGAGCUAAUUGAGUUUGUUUAACUCUAAACAUUAGUUUAAGUAGAUGUUAAUAGUAUCUGGAGCAUGUAAAUAACAGUUAUUAUUUUUUUUGAGUAUAAAUACUGUUUCAGCCUUGCUUUAGACCAUGCAAAAUCAGUUCAAAGUUGUUACUAUAGAGUUGGUUUAUGUGGAUUUUUAUCUUAAGUUUUGGAACGAAAAGAGAUGGUUUUUGUUACUGGAUACAUGACUCUGGUUUGCUGAUCUGACCACCAGUUGGGUCAGAUUGGUGAAUUCUAAAGCUGAACGAAUGGAUUCAAAGUCAUCUAUGGAGGGAGAUUAAGCAGAAGGCUUACUAUUUGAUCAUAUUUUGUUCAUAUAAUGAAUCAGCCAUGUAUGUAUUGAAAGUUAUAUUUGAUACUACUAUUGAGGACUAUAUUGUAAAUUAUCAGAUCUGUAAAUAUUAGAAUAUAUUCAGUUUGUUGUGUCAACUAAAAGGGACCAGUUACCCAUUUUCAUUGAUUUUUAGCGAUUUUGAAUCUGGAAGUUUGAAUGGGUUACUACCAAUUUUGUUUUCCCUAGAGCUCUAUUGUUUUGGUCCAUCGAUUAGUUCAAAGAGUAUGCCAUUGUUAAUUAGCUUAAGAACUUAAAUAUUUAUUGAUUUCACAUAUUCUAAUAAGUUAUCCGAAUAUUUAUAUAUGCUGUCGUUACUGAGCUGGUAAUUUUU